Molecule: long non-coding RNA, 1559 nt
Filed under: Setaria viridis
Lineage: Eukaryota; Viridiplantae; Streptophyta; Magnoliopsida; Poales; Poaceae
Description: long non-coding RNA (SVIR_LNC009928)
Source: RNAcentral
GGGCAGUGGCAUAUAAUGAGUCAUUUAUUUGCUUAGUCUUGGUUUCCAAAAGGAACUGAAUGUUGAACAGUCCCCUCUACCUAAGGAAUAAUUGGGGGCUACCUUCAUCCAUACAUGGAUUUUGUAUUUCUAUGUGUAACUUGUCACCUAGCUUAAUACAGACAACAUGCGAAUAUGGAUUUUUAAUAUGGGAUUCAUGUCCUGGUCUCCAAUAUAUUGAUACCCAAUCCGGGUGCAAUUGUACUUUUUUGCCCAAUGUCAACCCAUAGACGGGUCACAUAACGACUCCCCCUUUUUGCUGAUUGAUUCUGGAAUUGUGUUGGUUAAGGUAUUUAUUCGUGGUUGAGCAAAAUGGUUUGGGAAUAAAAUGGCAUGGUAAUGAAAUCAUGAGUUAGGCAAGCCAAAUUAUAAUUGGUAGCACUAAUAGUGUUCAAAAACAGGGGACACGUGUAAGUUGUAACUUUCAAGUAUGCAAAAUACAGUUGCAGUUCUGCUGUAACUCCACAUACAAACAUAGCCAUCGAUUCUCCAAAAUUGAUCCCACAGCCUUCUCGUGCUCCUGUUAUUGCUAGUUAUCUCAAAUGCUGAAUUCUGUGUGGAAUUGAGCAACCAUCACACUAGAAUCUGGUUACCUGUGUAGGCUUCUGCCAUUGUAGUUGAUUACAAUCAUUCAGUAUGCUGGUGAGCCUGCUUUAGUAGUACCUUUAAUUGUGAUAUAUUGUUACCUUGUCCCGAUGUAAACGUGUGGAUAGAUGAUUGAGUUGCCCUUUCAUAGUGAAAUGGAAACUGGGGCAAUGGCCUAUAAUGAGCUAUUUAUUUGCUCAGCCUUGGUUUCCAAAAGAAACUGAAUGAUGAACAGUCCCCUCUACUUAAGGAAUAAUUGGGGGCUACCUUCAUCCAUACAUGGAUUGUGUAUUUCUACUGUAACUGUAACUUGUUACCUAGCUUAAUAUAGAUAACAUUCUAAUAUGGAUUUUUAACAUAGGAUUUAUGUCCUGGUCUCCAAUAUAUUGAUAACCAAUCCUGUGCAAUGGUACAUUUUUUUUUUUGCCAAAUGUCAACACAUAGAUAGAUCACCGCUUCAUUGAAAAAAGGAAACCGAGAGAGUGGCAUGUGAUGAGCUAUUUAUUUGCUUACUCUUUGUUUCCAAAAACAACAGGAUGAUGAACAGUCCCCUCUACUGUAGAAAGAACUGGGGGCUACCUUCAUCCAUACACCAAUCAGAUACUUCUAUGUAUAACUUGCCGACCCCUAGCUGAACACAGAACAUAUUAAAGUAUGCAUUUGUUUCCUUCACAUCAGAAUUGAUGUCCUGUUUCCCAGUCUAGUCAUAUACUGAUACCUGACUAGAAGUGCAUUUUUUAGUUGAUUAUUUUUUUUGGAAAAGACUAAAAAGUAGAGUAAGUCGGGUUGCUUGGAUCUUGUUGCCUUUCUUUAGCAACUGGAUUGGCUGGCAUAAUAUUGGUAGAAUGGUAGUGCAGUACUUGAAUACUUUCAAAUAGAUAAUAUACAAGCAAUCUGCAAUGCAUGAAUUCAAAACUAGGAAUUGUAUUUUACGC